Long non-coding RNA from Symphalangus syndactylus (siamang), 1042 nucleotides. RefSeq lists it as uncharacterized. Lineage: Eukaryota; Metazoa; Chordata; Mammalia; Primates; Hylobatidae. The record is from RefSeq and is a predicted model, not a curated record.
CUCAUCUGUAAAAAUGGGGAUGAUAUGGGUACCAGUUUUAUAGGUUUAUUGUGAGAAUUGCAUGGGAUAAAAGAUUUCAAGCUCUUAGCAUAACGGCAAUACUAGGUAUCACUAUUAAUAAUGGUUCAUUGUUCAAAAGAAAAUUUUAAAUAAAAGAAAAUGUGAACCUUUGAAAGUAAUACAAUAAAAACUGAAGGAAAAGGAAAAAAAGACAGUCACGGAGACUGAUGGUGAGAAAUGGAAGCAAAUAGGGAUAAAGAGAAAAGAAAUGUACUUCUCUGUCUCUAGGCUGCUGUCAGAAUCUGCCUGGCUUCCGCCACCUCUGUUGGCCUCAGCUUUUCCUGCCUGGGCUCACACAGAGCUUCUCAGGCUUCAGCAGGCACAACCUGGAGAGCUUGUGACAGUCCACGUUGCUGGACCCAUGCCCCCAGAAAGUCUGAUUCAGUGGGUCUGGGGUGGCGCCCAAGAAUUUGCACUUCUACCAAUUCCAGGUGAUGCUGGUGAAACUGCACCAGGACGGCUCUCUGAGGACCACUGACAUAAGGCACGGCCCUCCCUGACCCCAGACCAACCCAGCAUUACCACAAGAAACGAUCACACCAGAUUCUGGAGAUAAGACAAGAAAUCAUUCAACAAUGACUUAUUGAACAAUAUUCUGUGGCUAGCACUGCUUCAGUGACCUGGUGACACAGCAGUACACAAAACAGAAAAACAAACUUUCUGCCUUACACUCCACUGGAGAGACACAGACAAUUAAUGAAUCAAAAAUGGCAGCUAUAGUAUGUUGGAUCAAGAGAAAAAAUGAAGUCAAGAAGCCUGGGUAGUUGCACUUCAAACAGAGGGGACGAGGAAGGCUUUGCUGUGUAAAAACUUGAAGGAGAAGAGGAAUCAAGCCACCAGGCUGUUAGGGAGUGAGAAUUCGGAACUUCAUCAAGCGCCUGUACCACUCUGUGGGCCAGAAUUUGAGAAGCACUGAAAUAAACAAUUUUGAUGAAUACAAUCAAUGUUUGUAAAAGGCCUGUGUUAUAGAGCCAUCCUAACU